Long non-coding RNA from Procambarus clarkii (red swamp crayfish), 245 nucleotides. RefSeq lists it as uncharacterized. The record is from RefSeq and is a predicted model, not a curated record. NCBI's taxonomy places the organism in Eukaryota, Metazoa, Arthropoda, Malacostraca, Decapoda, Cambaridae.
CAACAGUAUUUGAGUGAACAUGGCCCCUCUGCUGUUGUGGUGCCUGGCUGUGGCCAAUCUUGUGGCUGUGGACUCGUGUGCCCAGGACCCAGAGGCUCCUCCGACACCUAUCAUAAUGAACCAGGAAGGCGGAGUGAACACUGUGACGCCCAUCAUCAUGAAUGAGGGACCAGAGCAGCCCAGCCCUGGCAUCACAGUCAUCUCAGGAAGGAAGAGGAGAGCCGCGGUUCAUCCAAAAAGAAGUG